GAGUUUGAUCUUGGCUCAGAUUGAACGCUGGCGGCGUGCUUAACACAUGCAAGUCGAGCGGCAGCGCGGUAGCAAUACUGGCGGCGAGCGGCGAACGGGUGAGUAAUGCUUCGGAAUCUGCCCUUUGGUGGGGAAUAACCUGGGGAAACUCAGGCUAAUACCGCAUACGCCCUUCGGGGAAGCAGGGGAUCGCAAGACCUUGCGCCAUUGGAUGAGCCGAAGUCGGAUUAGCUAGUUGGUGAGGUAACGGCUCACCAAGGCGACAAUCCGUAGCUGGUCUGAGAGGACGACCAGCCACACUGGGACUGAGACACGGCCCAGACUCCUACGGGAGGCAGCAGUGGGGAAUAUUGGACAAUGGGGGCAACCCUGAUCCAGCGACGCCGCGUGUGUGAAGAAGGCCUGCGGGUUGUAAAGCACUUUUAGUGGGGAUGAAAAGCCAAGGGCUAAUACCUUUUGGUCUUGACCUAACCCAAGAAAAGCACCGGCUAACUCUGUGCCAGCCGCCGCAGUAA
This 515-nucleotide ribosomal RNA is filed under the name uncultured Gammaproteobacteria bacterium. RNAcentral's name for it is "bacterial SSU rRNA". It matches the Rfam family "Bacterial small subunit ribosomal RNA", at positions 9 to 523 of the family's 1533-position model. Lineage: Bacteria; Pseudomonadati; Pseudomonadota; Gammaproteobacteria. The record is from RNAcentral.